RNAcentral lists this ribosomal RNA (331 nucleotides) under uncultured bacterium. RNAcentral describes it as "bacterial SSU rRNA". It matches the Rfam family "Bacterial small subunit ribosomal RNA", at positions 568 to 897 of the family's 1533-position model. The record is from RNAcentral.
UGCGCAGGCGGCCGUGUGUGUGAGGCGUGAAAGCCCGGAGCUCAACUCCGGAAUGGCACCUCAAACUACACGGCUAGAGCAUUGGAGAGGGUAGCAGAAUUCACGGUGUAGCAGUGAAAUGCGUAGAUAUCGUGAGGAAUACCAGAGGCGAAGGCGGCUACCUGGACAAUUGCUGACGCUCAGGCACGAAAGCGUGGGGAGCAAAAGGGAUUAGAUACCCCUGUAGUCCACGCCCUAAACGGUGCGCACUAGGUCUUGGAGGAUUCGACCCCUUCAGGGCCCAAGCUAACGCGUUAAGUGCGCCGCCUGAGGACUACGGCCACAAGGCUAA